RNAcentral lists this transfer RNA (61 nucleotides) under Ogadenus brumpti. RNAcentral describes it as "Argas brumpti tRNA-Tyr". Lineage: Eukaryota; Metazoa; Arthropoda; Arachnida; Ixodida; Argasidae. The record is from RNAcentral.
GGUAAAAUGGCCGAUAAAGGUGAUAAAUUGUAAAUUUAUUAAUGAAUUCUUCUUUUACUAU